Molecule: unclassified non-coding RNA, 345 nt
Filed under: soil metagenome
Description: partial contains 5.8S ribosomal RNA, internal transcribed spacer 2, and large subunit ribosomal RNA
Rfam family: 5.8S ribosomal RNA (bases 1-119)
Source: RNAcentral
GAUGAAGAACGUAGUGAAAUGCGAUACGUAAUGUGAAUUGCAAAUUCAGUGAAUCAUCGAGUCUUUGAACGCACAUUGCGCCCCCUGGUAUUCCGGGGGGCAUGCCUGUCCGAGCGUCAUUGCUGCCCUCAAGCACGGCUUGUGUGUUGGGCCCCGUCCUCCGAUCCCGGGGGACGGGCCCGAAAGGCAGCGGCGGCACCGCGUCCGGUCCUCGAGCGUAUGGGGCUUUGUCACCCGCUCUGUAGGCCCGGCCGGCGCUUGCCGAUCAACCCAAAUUUUUUAUCCAGGUUGACCUCGGAUCAGGUAGGGAUACCCGCUGAACUUAAGCAUAUCAAUAAGCGGAGA